Molecule: long non-coding RNA, 124 nt
Organism: Sphaerodactylus townsendi
Lineage: Eukaryota; Metazoa; Chordata; Lepidosauria; Squamata; Sphaerodactylidae
Exons: 3
Source: RefSeq, a predicted model, not a curated record
AAUGGGUGGGAAAGAAUCCCUAGGUAAUCCCAAGUAGAAUACAGUUAAAACUGCUGUGAUAGCCCAAGGGACUCCAGAGAUACAGGCAUUUUUACCCAUUUUAAAAAAAAAUAACUGGGAGGGG